Scatophagus argus is the source of this 370-nucleotide long non-coding RNA. RefSeq lists it as uncharacterized. The record is from RefSeq and is a predicted model, not a curated record. The transcript is spliced from 2 exons. NCBI's taxonomy places the organism in Eukaryota, Metazoa, Chordata, Actinopteri, Scatophagidae.
CUUGGGGGCAGCAGAAACAAGCUGCACACACGACAAUGACAUAUUAUCAUUAUUAUUGUUAGCAAAGACGUAUUUAGACAUCCAGCAAUUACAGAGCAACAUUAUCAUUCAUUUGGAGUGUUACCACCCAUCCAGUGAAUGCACAAUCAGCAUCAUUGUGCCUCUGGAGGAGACGGGUGCAGUGGCACCGCAGGGCAAACAUGAAGAGGAGCAGCUCGCAGACAUUGGCUGUUUACUCUGAAGACAUCACAGAAAAAUAAUUGUGAUCAGAUGCAUGUAUUCUGCACGAUGAGACGCCGAACUGCUGCAUGUCUGUGGCAUGUGUGCAGUUUGGCACUUGAAUGAAUUAAAAAGUGGUUUUCAAAGUGCA